RNAcentral lists this ribosomal RNA (433 nucleotides) under uncultured bacterium. RNAcentral describes it as "partial 16S ribosomal RNA". It matches the Rfam family "Bacterial small subunit ribosomal RNA", at positions 29 to 507 of the family's 1533-position model. The record is from RNAcentral.
AGCGAACGCUGGCGGCAGGCCUAACACAUGCAAGUCGAACGAACUCUUCGGAGUUAGUGGCGGACGGGUGAGUAACACGUGGGAACGUGCCUUUUGGUUCGGAAUAACUCAGGGACACUUGUGCUAAUACCGAAUGUGCCCUUCGGGGGAAAGAUUUAUCGCCAUUAGAGCGGCCCGCGUCUGAUUAGCUAGUUGGUGAGGUAACGGCUCACCAAGGCGACGAUCAGUAGCUGGUCUGAGAGGAUGACCAGCCACACUGGGACUGAGACGCGGCCCAGACUCCUACGGGAGGCAGCAGUGGGGAAUCUUGCGCAAUGGGCGAAAGCCUGACGCAGCCAUGCCGCGUGAAUGAUGAAGGUCUUAGGACUGUAAAAUUCUUUCACCGGGGACGAUAAUGACGGUACCCGGAGAAGAAGCCCCGGCUAACUUCGUG